AUAAAUAAAAGAAAUAAAAAUAAGCCACAGAGCGCUGCAAAGGAAAAUAAAAAAGGCAAAGCAGCGCGGAGCGCCCAUGUGCUCGGCGGAGCACGCGCUCGCCUCAAUGGAACGUUGUGCUGGCGAGAGGCUCGUGACGUCACCGCCCCCCCCCACACUCCCCCCUCUUUUUGGGUUCGCGAAGUGCCCGGGGAUGGAUGGAGGGGUGAAGGGUCGGAGGGUCCCGCACACCUUCCCCAGAAUGAAAGGAGGGGGGAGCAACUUUGGGAGAAGCAGGAGCUGCUGCAUGUUCUCCCCACUGCACGCACACCCCAACGGUACCCAUCAGAUGCAGUGCCUGGGCUAGAAGCUAUUUGUGCCACACCAAGCUCACCUGCACAGCACACAUCCAUACCCAGCUCAGGACUCCAGUCCUUCUUCUGCAAAACGCACGCAGAGCUGCUGUUCCACAUUACCUCCAAACGAAGCUGCGAUUCCCAGCUCCCCAGACUCGCCUGUGUGCUACAUGGUGCCAACUCCAUGUGCCAUGAGGAGACAGAGGCAUCUCCACCCAGUGGCUGCCCGACUACCCAGAGAAGCCACCCAUGGUCGCACAGGUUGCUGUGGCCACCCCCGGUGAGGCAGCUCCGGUGAUCAGAAGUCAGGGUGCAGGCCCUGUGAGCACCCACAAACCCUCCUUUGGGUCAGAGCCCCUUCAGGGCACAGUCAGGAGGCUGGUGGUGGGGUGUCAGCUGGCUGCCAAGCAUUCCCCCCAGCCCUGGCAUGGGAGAUCGGCAAAGUCUUGAGUGUCUCUCAUUGCAGGAGGAAACCCCACAAUCCUCUUUCCACAAACACGUGUAAUAUCUGCUCAGUGCCUGCAUUGUUUAGCUCCGCAGCCUGCGUGGUGGUCUCACUCUGCAAAUUAUCCAGCGUUACAGGCUGAAUAAGCUCGGCCUGUGUCAAUCAGUGUAAUCACCUUUGCGACAGCCCUGCACACCCACGUGAGGUGGUGGCACUGCUCUGAGCUCAAACACAGCAAGGCCAAGGCCAAAUGAUGCGACGUGCUCUCACAAGGCCAAAGGAAGAGCAAGAGGCAUGCUGAAAAAUAAAUAAAUAAAUAAAUAUAUAAACA
This 1111-nucleotide long non-coding RNA is filed under the name Anas platyrhynchos platyrhynchos (common mallard). RNAcentral describes it as "lncRNA (ENSAPLG00000018668.1)". Lineage: Eukaryota; Metazoa; Chordata; Aves; Anseriformes; Anatidae. The record is from RNAcentral.